This 497-nucleotide ribosomal RNA is filed under the name uncultured bacterium. Its description in RNAcentral is "partial 16S ribosomal RNA". It matches the Rfam family "Bacterial small subunit ribosomal RNA", at positions 28 to 507 of the family's 1533-position model. The record is from RNAcentral.
GAUGAACGCUGGCGGCGUGCCUAAUACAUGCAAGUCGAGCGGACGGACGAGAAGCUUGCUUCUCUGAUGUUAGCGGCGGACGGGCGAGUAACACGUGGAUAACCUACCUAUACGUCUGGGAUAACUUCGGGAAACCGGAGCUAAUACCGGAUAAUAUUUUGAACCGCAUGGUUCAAAAGUGACAGACGGUCUUGCUGUCACUUAUAGCUGGAUCCGCGCUGCAUUAGCUAGCUGGUAAGGUAACGGCUUACCAAGGCAACGAUGCAUAGCCGACCGGAGAGGGUGAUCGGCGGCACUUGAAAUGGGACACGGUCCAGACUUCCACGGGAGGCAGCGGUGGGGAAAUUGGCGGAGUGGGCGAGAGCCUGACGGAGCGACGCCGCGUGAGUGAUGAAGGCCCGCGGAUCGGACUACACUGUUCUUGGGAAAGAACAUAUGUGGAAGCCCCCGGGCAUGGCUUGACGGUCAGCAAUCAGGACGCGACAGCAAUCUACGUU